CUCCCGUUGAUCCCGCCGGACCCGACUGCUAUCAGAGUGGGACUAAGCCAUGCGAGUCAACAUAGCAAUAUGUGGCAUACGGCUCAGUAACACGUAGUCAACAUGCCCAGGGGACGUGGAUAACCUCGGGAAACUGAGGAUAAACCGCGAUAGGUCAUCACUUCUGGAAUGGGUAAUGACUUAAAUCUAUAUGGCCCCUGGAUUGGACUGCGGCCGAUCAGGCUGUUGGUGAGGUAAUGGCCCACCAAACCUAUUACCGGUACGGGCUCUGAGAGGAGGAGCCCGGAGAUGGGCACUGAGACAAGGGCCCAGGCCCUAUGGGGCGCAGCAGGCGCGAAACCUCUGCAAUAGGCGAAAGCUUGACAGGGUUACUCUGAGUGAUUUCCGCUAAGGGAAUCUUUUGGCACCUCUAAAAAUGGUGCAGAAUAAGGGGUGGGCAAGUCUGGUGUCAGCCGCCGCGGUAAUACCAGCACCCCGAGUGGUCGGGACGAUUAUUGGGCCUAAAGCAUCCGUAGCCGGUCCUGCAAGUCUUCCGUUAAAUCCAGCUGCUCAACAGAUGGGCUGCGGGAGAUACUACAGGGCUAGGAGGCGGGAGAGGCAAGCGGUACUUUAUGGGUAGGGGUAAAAUCCGCUGAUCCAUAGAAGACCACCAGUGGCGAAGGCGGCUUGCCAGAACGCGCUCGACGGUGAGGGAUGAAAGCUGGGGGAGCAAACCGGAUUAGAUACCCGGGUAGUCCCAGCUGUAAACGAUGCAGACUCGGUGAUGGGUUGGCCUCGCGCCUGCCCAGUGCCGCAGGGAAGCCGUUAAGUCUGCCGCCUGGGGAGUACGGUCGCAAGACUGAAACUUAAAGGAAUUGGCGGGGGAGCA
Molecule: ribosomal RNA, 868 nt
Filed under: uncultured archaeon
Lineage: Archaea
Description: bacterial SSU rRNA
Rfam family: Archaeal small subunit ribosomal RNA
Source: RNAcentral